GUUAAGCCCCCAGAUUCUACAACACCUAGAAAUAUCCAGUCAUGAGUCCCUUCCCCCUCCUUGCACACAGCCCGGUCAGAAACCUGACUCUGCACUCCAUGCAAGAGGAAGUCCUCCCAUUGAUCCCAAAUGAUGAUUGAUCUCUCCCAUUAGAGCCUGUUCAUUCCUUAGGGACUUUGGAAAGGAGAGCAAAAGCAAGCAGAGCAUCUCCUCCCUUCCUCCUCAUCAAUGAUUUUGAAGAAUUUCCUCCAGUCUUUGAAGGGCUCCAGGGAGAGGGCCUGAGCUCCAGUUCAAUAGGUAAAAAGGUAAGGGAUGGCCCCAGUAGAAAACAGUUCAUCAGCUUGGAAUCAGUGUUGCAAAUACUAGAAACGUAGUGUAGUACAAGAAAGAACAUGCUAUGUGACAUGGGGCAGCCAAGUCAUUUCACUUCUCUGAGCUUCAGUUUCCUUUUCGAACCUAUCCCUGUAGGCUGUUAGAGGAGAAAUAAACACACAAAGGAGCUUUAAACCAGUAUUGAGCACUUAGUAGGUAUUCAAUAAGUGAUUUUUCCAACUGAGGAGGACACCUGUCCUACAAACUUAGCAUCAUAUUGUAAGUUUAUAGAGGUGAGGAAAACAUACCAAAGGGAAUACAAGUUAACCAUUUCCUUGUUUGCUCAGGGCAGCCCUGCCCACUGGUCCCAGGGGAAGAGGACUAUACCAGCAGAACUGAAGUGUUGACAAGCGUAACCAAAGCCACUUACUUCAUCGUAAUCAGAUUCUCCCUAGCUAGGGGAGGCUUCUCCCAGGCUCCCCAGGCCUGGCUACCGGCCCAUAUUGAUCCAUUUCUAAUUAGGACCUGUGUCAGUGCUUCUGACAGAAAGUCAGGGCCUAGGCUGCCUCUGCUGGCCUCUGGCCAAAGCCUAAAAUACUCUUGCCCAGGGUAGACCCAGAGAACCAACACUUUUGUGGUAGAAAAGGAUCCCAGACUGAACUCAUAAAGCAGCAUAAAAUUUUAGAGCCAAAAGGGUCCUUUAUAAGCAUGAGCUUUGUUUAUGCUACAAGUGAGAAAACUGAGGUCCAGAAAAGAUAAUUUGUCCAUGGUGGUACAAAAAGAUAAUGCAGAUCUUACUUCUAUUUCUUUCCUCUUGAUAACUGCCUCCAACCUGGCUACACAACAGAAGCACUCCAGGAACUUGUUAGAGAACCUGAUUUAGAACAUAUGCAGUGGUUCUUUUACGAAGUAUAUGAUCAUCUUCCAAUAGAAGUGAACCUUGAAAUCACAGGACCAGUUUAUAGCUAGGUUCAAAUCCACCUUGGGUCACAGUAGUACCAUUUAGAAGAAACCAGCUAUUGUCUGAUCCAGCCUUCCCCCACCCCAACCAUAACAAAGUUAUUCUAGGGGCCUCAGAAGGGUCUGUCAUAAGUAAUAGUUCAGACUUCCUAGUGGUCCACUAGUUUGGCUAUGAGCAAAGACAUUUCCUUUCAAAACUAGUCUGAAAGUAAAAUGUCUCUUAUGAAGAUUAGAAAUACCUAAGGAAGGGGUGUAGGCAAUAGUGGGAGAUGGUGUGGUGUGGGAUGUAUGAGACCCAAGGUGUAGGGAGAUGUGUCUGUGUACAGAGGAAGACCUAUGUGGAUAUGUAAGGGAGUAAACAGUGUGGUGUCUGUGAGACAGGCUUGCAGAUACCUUUGCAACACAUACUGAGUACCUGGUUAGAAAACAGAACAGAACUGGAGGUACAGGAGGAUAAAUGUGUUGGUACAUGGCAGGAGGGGGGGUGGGGAGUACAUAAUUCGAAGGUGUAAGAGAGAUUAUAUGGAUGUGUAUGGAAGAGAAGCAAUGUGUGCACCUUUGUAACUCAAUUUUGUGUCUAUGUGUUGCAAAGCAUAUGAACUUAUAGGGACUGGAGGGAGUGUGUGUGGCCUAGACACUCAUAUGCAUAAGAAAACAGAUCCCUGAGCGUAUCUGACUCAUCCAGCCCUAGCUUUUCCUGAAGGCUCAUACCACUCAAGGGCAAGACUGUCUGCAGAAAUUUCUCAUUAAAAUUGACAUUAUGACAACUACUAAAAAAAAAAAAAAAAAAAAAAAAAAUGGUAACGACACCCCCAGCAUCGUGGGAGGUUAAAAAAAAAACGCCAAUAGAACACAACAGACACAUAAGAAGCAAUUAUGCCAUAAUUACUUCUUCACAAAGGGAGGUGUUUAUUUGGAGUUAAAUAUUGUAUAGCUGAUUCACAUUUCAACCCAAAGUACUGGAUUUCCUGGGUAACUUGGGGAAGAGGGCAAGAAAGAAGAAAAUAGGUAGAAAAAGAUCAACAAUAAAGUUAAAAAGCGGGGGCGGGGGGGGAGGACUGAAGAAAUAGGAAGAUAAAAGAAAGGGAAAAGGUGGGGGGGGGCGUCAAGUAGGUUGUAAGAGAAAGGGAGGGGGCACCUGGGUGAUUAAGUCGGUUGAGCAUCCAACUUCGGCUUAGGUCAUGAUCUCACAGCUCUUGAGUUUGAGCCCCACAAUGGGCUCACUGCUGUCAGUGCAGAGCCUGAUUUGGAUCCUCUGUCCCCCUCGCUCUUUGCCCCUCCCCCGCUCACACUCUCUCUCAAAAAUAAACAUUUAAAAAAAGGAUAUUUAAAAAAGAGAUAAGAGAAGGAAAGAAGAACACAAAAGAAAAAAGGUACAAAAGACAGGAGAGAGAAUUUCCUUUAGGCUGGUCUAGAAACUUAGCACACACUCUAACAGGAUUCUGGCUAAAGAGAUGGGUGCAGUACGUGGUGGCCUGAAUCUCUGUACUUCUUCACUGCCUUUACUCCAACCAUUUCCUCCAUCUGGAAUGUUCUUCCCAGCAUCUUUGCCAAGUUGAAUUUCUUCUGAAUUUUCAAGGACAUACUCAAAUGCUACCAGUUUUUAGAAACUUCCAAGAUUUCUCCCAAUUAGAAGUUAGUUCUCAAGAACUUCCACAGGGGCAUCUAGGUGGCUCAGUCAGUUGAGCAUCCAACUCUUGAUUUUGGCUCAGGCCAUGAUCCCAGGGUCGUGGGAUUGAGUCCUGUGUCAGGCUCCGUACUGAGCAUGGAGCCUGCUUAAGAUUCUCUCUUCCUGCCCCCCUCAACCACUCUCCCCUAACUCAUGCUCUCUCUAUAAAAUAAAAAAGGGGGGCACCUGGAUGGUUCAGUCAGUUAAGCAUUCGACUCUAGAUUUCAGCUAAGGUCAUGAUCUCACUGUUCGUGAGAUUGAGCCCUGUGUCAGGCUCUAUGCUGACAGUGCAGAACCUGCUUAGGAUUCUCUCUCCCUCUCCCUCUGCCCCCUCCUUCCCCUCCCCCCAAUACAUGUGCUCUCUCAAAAUAAAUUUUUAAAAAGAGGGUGGGGGGGGUGCCUGGUUGGCUCAGUCCGUUAAGUGCCUGACUCUUGAUUUCGGCUAAGGUCAUGAUCUCACAGAUUUGUGAGUUCGAGCCCCAGAUCAGGCUCCACACUGACAGUGCAGUCUGCUUGGGAUUCUGUCCCUCUCCCUCUCUCUCUGCUCCUCCCCCACUUGUUCUCUCUCUCAAAUAAACAAACUUAAAAUAAAAAUCUUAAAAAAAAAAAAAAUUCCCAUAAAGUUCCAGAGCACUU
This 3577-nucleotide long non-coding RNA is filed under the name Lynx pardinus (Iberian lynx). The record is from RNAcentral. Lineage: Eukaryota; Metazoa; Chordata; Mammalia; Carnivora; Felidae.